Molecule: long non-coding RNA, 779 nt
Organism: Lolium rigidum
Lineage: Eukaryota; Viridiplantae; Streptophyta; Magnoliopsida; Poales; Poaceae
Exons: 3
Source: RefSeq, a predicted model, not a curated record
UUGUUUCUUCAGUAGUACACAAACCAAACUAAAACUUAUAAUCUUACUUAUUUUGAUGUCAAAUUGGUCGAGCUAUCUCUCUUUAGGAUGAACAAGUUUAUGGGUUUUUUAACAUUUGCUACGCUAAUUGAUCAUUGUUUUUCUCAAUCUGCAAAUUCUAAGGAUUAAAACUGGGAGUGGCACUGCGAUGACGACGGACACGAAGGCGGUAGCCGGUAGGAAGGGGGUGGUUUGAUGUGGGUGGCUUGACUCCCACGGAUUACCCAUGGUGUCUGGAGGCCAGAAAAGAUCUACUGUGAUGCCGAACUCUGGCGUGCCAUGAUAGCACCAGUUAUGACCGCAGCCUUCCAGGUUUGCAUGUAACACUUAAUAACAGGAAAUUGUCGGUGAGGGCUGCAAGAUCUUAUUUACCAAUCCUCCAUGCACAUUUAGAAAGGUUCACUUGGUAUUUUCCAUCUCCGGUCUGAUCAAUGGUUCACGGACUGGACUGCUGACUAGAAAAAUGACCCCAUCUAUGCUUAUGGUGUUCUAUCCCGUAUUUAGUAGAAGAUUUUAUUUGUAGUUCUUUCAUACAGUAUAUGAUAAGGAUAGCUCCUUUAAUUGUGUGUCUCGAGUUCCAGAUAGACCAGGUCAUCCACAUGACCACAUGUACAUGUAUUUGUUUUUUCAGAGGGGGAAAAAGUGAAAACCAGUGAACACUUGCCUAUAGAAAAAUAAGGCAUCUUUCUUUGAGUGUUGCAUGUCUGGGAAAUUAGCAAUGGAGGCAUGAGCGAAAAUGC